RNAcentral lists this ribosomal RNA (265 nucleotides) under uncultured archaeon. RNAcentral's name for it is "partial 16S ribosomal RNA". It matches the Rfam family "Archaeal small subunit ribosomal RNA", at positions 717 to 982 of the family's 1478-position model. The record is from RNAcentral.
ACACGACUACAUUAGAUACCCCCGUAGUCCUAGCCGUAAACGAUACUCGCUAGGCGUCGGCCACGGUGCGACCGUUGUCGGUGCCGUAGGGAAGCCGUGAAGCGAGCCACCUGGGAAGUACGGCCGCAAGGCUGAAACUUAAAGGAAUUGGCGGGGGAGCACAACAACGGGUGGAGCUUGCGGUUUAAUUGGAUUCAACGCCGGAAAUCUUACCGGGACCGACAGCAACAUGAAGGCCAAGCUGAAGACUUUGCCGGAUUAGCUG